RNAcentral lists this ribosomal RNA (423 nucleotides) under uncultured eukaryote. RNAcentral describes it as "partial 18S ribosomal RNA". It matches the Rfam family "Eukaryotic small subunit ribosomal RNA", at positions 416 to 785 of the family's 1831-position model. The record is from RNAcentral.
CCAAGGAAGGCAGCAGGCGCGCAAAUUACCCAAUACUGAUUCGGUGAGGUAGUGACAAGAAAUACCAAUAUAGGACCCAACGGGUACUAUGUUUGGAAUGAGUACAAUUUAAAAACCUUAACGAGGAACAAUUGGAGGGCAAGUCUGGUGCCAGCAGCCGCGGUAAUUCCAGCUCCAAUAGUGUAUAUUAAAGUUGCUGCGGUUAAAAAGCUCGUAGUUGGAUUUCGGAGUUGUUAUCUGAACCUUCUCGCCAUAAAAAGUGGGGGGGCUAAGGUAGCAGUAGUUUUCAUCAUAGUCCACCAGGAUACUCUCUUGGUGUGUACUGGGUGUUAACCUCCUUUUUUUCUGGUACUUGCUAUCCAGCAAUGGGUAGUUUUUGUCCAGAUAGUUUACUUUGAAAAAAUUAGAGUGUUCAAAGCAGGC